Molecule: long non-coding RNA, 649 nt
Organism: Saccostrea cuccullata (small rock oyster)
Lineage: Eukaryota; Metazoa; Mollusca; Bivalvia; Ostreida; Ostreidae
Exons: 2
Source: RefSeq, a predicted model, not a curated record
UAAAUAGUUGUAUUAAAAAUUUCCAUGAAAUGAUUCUUCCAAAUGGUAUUUUAUUGUAUGGACUAGUCAUUGAUCAUUGAAACCAUGCAUCCAUCCAUUCAUCUCCAAACCAAAAUAGAACUGUAUUAAGUGAUACAGAUCUUGUAAGUAGAUUUCCGUGUAAAAAGGAGAUCCAAGAUAAAUUUAAUUUACUUAAGUGUCUUUAUGUAUAUAAAGGAAUUUAUGUGAUCUAAAUACGUAAUAAAUUGCAUAUUUUUAUUAAUUACCAAUUUGUUUGAAAUCAUGGGUCCCGAAGGGUUUUCCGGGUUUUAUACUUAUGCGUCCUCUAGUAACGGCUAUUAGCCUUAUCCUUAUCAGAAUAACAUUUCGGCUCCAAAAUGUGGUUUACAAAUUUUACCCACCACCACCCCUUCAAUCCUCCAUAAUUAUUGUUAUUGUAGAAAAUACAUGUACUAGUUUCUUUUAUAUAAGGUGCCUAUUGUUAUUGCAUGACUUUUGUACUUAUUGUUAAUUUUGUAGAAAAUAUAUGUACUAGUUUUCUUUUGUAUAAGGUGUGGGAUGUUUUUGGGCCCCACCUUCUGCUGCAUUCUGAUAUUGUAAAAUCUGUAAUCUCAUUUGGCAUUUGUAAUAAAUGCUCUAUACACACACA